AUUGAACGCUGGCGGCAGGCCUAACACAUGCAAGUCGAGCGAGCGGCGGACGGGUGAGUAAUGUCUGGGGCUCUGCCCGAUAGAGGGGGAUAACUACUGGAAACGGUGGCUAAUACCGCAUACUAUCGGAUGAACCCAUAUGGGCUUAGCUAGUAGGUGGGGUAAAGGCUCACCUAGGCGACGAUCUCUAGCUGGGCUGAGAGGAUGAUCAGCCACACUGGGACUGAGACACGGACCAGACUCAUACGGGAGGCAGCAGUGGGGAAUAUUGCACAAGGGGCGCAAGCCUGAUGCAGCCAGGCCGCGUGUAUGAAGAAGGCCGUAGGGGUGUAAAGUACUUUCAGCGGGGAGGCGUUACCCGCAGAAGAAGCACCGGCUAACUCCGUGCCAGCCGCCGCGGGAAUUC
This 406-nucleotide ribosomal RNA is filed under the name uncultured bacterium. Its description in RNAcentral is "partial 16S ribosomal RNA". It matches the Rfam family "Bacterial small subunit ribosomal RNA", at positions 29 to 526 of the family's 1533-position model. The record is from RNAcentral.